RNAcentral lists this ribosomal RNA (253 nucleotides) under uncultured bacterium. RNAcentral's name for it is "partial 16S ribosomal RNA". It matches the Rfam family "Bacterial small subunit ribosomal RNA", at positions 524 to 776 of the family's 1533-position model. The record is from RNAcentral.
UACGUAGGGGGCUAGCGUUGUCCGGAAUCAUUGGGCGUAAAGAGCGUGUAGGCGGUCCGGUAAGUCCGCUGUGAAAGUCGGGGGCUCAACCCUCGAAUGCCGGUGGAUACUGUCGGGCUAGAGUGCGGAAGAGGCGAGUGGAAUUCCUGGUGUAGCGGUGAAAUGCGCAGAUAUCAGGAGGAACACCGGUGGCGAAGGCGGAUCUCUGGGCCGUAACUGACGCUGAGGAGCGAAAGCAUGGGGAGCGAACAGG